This is a non-coding RNA of Camelina sativa (false flax), 1043 nucleotides long. NCBI's taxonomy places the organism in Eukaryota, Viridiplantae, Streptophyta, Magnoliopsida, Brassicales, Brassicaceae. The record is from RefSeq and is a predicted model, not a curated record.
ACUUGUUUUUAUAAGCAUAAGCAUGACAUACAGUUUAACAUAUGUCCUUUUGGUUACCAAAAAACAAAAUAUAACAAACUCAAUUAAAUAACCUACUAACUAUAAGACCACCACAUACAUGGGGUAAGAAAUAAUUAUUUUCUUACGACACAGGACUCUUGCAAUUUCAAGAGUUGAUCCACCUCUCUUAUCCUUUUGACUCAAGGGUUGUCUCAAUUGAUUAAAGGCUUUGAGUUUCUUACCAUCAGUUUAGUUUGCUAUUAAAAUUGAAGAAUUUAAGAAAGUGUAAAACGCCUAGUAUACACUUUUUUUGUUCUUUAAAGAGGUCAACACUAUUAGAUGUGCUUUAUUCAAAAGACAAACAGAGUGUUUGGUAAUAGAUUCGGGUGAAUCUUAAGGUAUGGUAAUUAACUGCUGAAAUCUUAACUAUCAACAAUCUGAAUAAGGAGAGUUUUUAGAGAUAUCUCCUUCUGCCAUUUCUUGAGUCCAACGCAAUUGUCAUUCGGCUAUGACAAGAGGCAUGAGAGGAUAUGACAAGUUCAACUGACUUAGCAAUGACUCCAAGCGAAGUUAAAGAGGUGUGCGGUUGAAAAUGACAGUGAUUUAAGAUAGAUCCUAAAAGACAGAGUCAAGAGGCCUCUAGAGAUUCUACUUCGGCAUCACAGUAUUUGGGAUGGCUAUAAGCGAGCAUAUGUGAGAUGCAAAUGUGAGAGCCAACUUCACCUUCGUUGUGAGAGCUAGGAUGUUGAAGACGUUCUUGAGCCAUUAGGAGGGAAAAUGAGUUUGGUUUAAGUGGAGUCCCAAACCGAGGUAUUGAUGUGAGAAGUCGUCCUGAAGGUUUCGGAAAAGCCACUUUUAGCUGUUCCAGAGAGAAAAUAGAGAGAAAAGAGAGAAGAGAGUGUGUACUUGGGAGAUCUUGGAGAUUCUAGGAUUGUUUGGUGAGAUAUGCUCCUGUGGAGUGGAAAUAUGGUGAUAGGAACGAAGGAUAAACCUUCCAAGGUAUUGGAUUCGUUGUUGUGGGCCAGAAACUUCCUGCAAAGAGG